Molecule: ribosomal RNA, 2517 nt
Filed under: Triticum aestivum (bread wheat)
Lineage: Eukaryota; Viridiplantae; Streptophyta; Magnoliopsida; Poales; Poaceae
Description: partial small subunit ribosomal RNA
Source: RNAcentral
AUGUCCAACAUCGAUCGCCAUGCCCUCCUCUGCUUCAAGUCCGGCAUCAGCUCUGAUCCCCUUGGCAUCCUACACUCAUGGAGCAAUGGCUCGCUUGACUUUUGCAGCUGGAAAGGGGUCGCUUGCGGCACCAAGUUUCCACCCCGGGUGGCCUCUCUGAACCUCACCGCCGCUCGUCUCGGUGGGCAGUUAUCUGGAUGCGUAUGCAACCUGACAUUUCUUUCCCGGAUGAACCUUGCUAAUAAUCAUCUGUUAGGAACCAUCCCCGAAGUGUUGGCCAGUAGCUCCUCACUCAGCACACUUAUACUGUCAUGUAAUAGCCUCUCAGGAGAGAUCCCUUCUACUUUGUUUGGUAAUGCACAACUUACUAUCGUUGAUCUCCAGAUGAAUUAUUUCACUGGUCCCAUCCCACAUUUCCAUAAGGUCACAACACUCAAAUUUCUUCGUCUGACAGACAACUUCCUCUCUGGGAGCAUACCUCCUUCAAUAGGAAAUGUUUCUUCCCUCACUACUAUAUUGCUCGGCCGAAAUAGGUUAUCUGGAUUAAUUCCAGAGACUUUGAGUCACAUUAAAGAACUUCUUGAGCUUGAUCUAAGUUUCAACAGUUUAUCAGGGAGUGUCCCGUCGUCUAUUUACAACAUGACAUCACUAAGUUACUUUAGCGUAGGCAGCAAUACACUUGUUGGACAGAUACCAUCUCACAUUGGUUACUCGCUAUCAAACCUCCAGUUGCUUAUCCUGGGAAGCAACAGACUAAACGUCCUGAUCCCUGCUUCACUAGCCAACAUGUUAAAUCUUCAAAUACUUGAUCUUUCAAACAACUCGCUACAUGGAUCUGUUCCAUCUCUUGGUUCCUUGUCAAACUUGCAUCAGUUAGAUUUAGGAAGGAACUUUCUAGAAGCACAUGACUGGUCAUUUCUUACAUCUCUGGCAAAUUGCACCCAGCUGACAAAGUUGUCCUUGGAAAGGAAUGCUCUAAAUGGCAGCCUACCUAUAUCCAUUGUUAAUCUUUCCAGGAGGCUAGAAGAUUUAUCGCUUGGGUCAAACCAAAUUUCAGGCUCCAUACCUGUAGAGAUUGGCAAUCUUGUUAAUCUCUUUUCGCUUGGGAUGGAAAGCAAUUUUCUUUCUGGAAGCAUACCUUCUUCCAUCGGCAAGCUACGAAACCUCUAUAUCCUAAAUCUGUCAAAGAACAAAUUAUCAGGUCAGAUUCCUCCCUCAAUUGGUGAUGUUACUCAACUUUCUGAACUUCACCUUGAUGGUAACAACUUGAGUGAAAAUAUACCUGGUAGUUUAGCUCAGUGCAUGGGGCUUUUUGAACUAAACUUGUCUCAAAACAAUCUUGAUGGCUCGAUAUCAGUCAGACUUUUUGCUGACCUUCUAUUCGCCUGGAGUCUGGACUUCUCACACAACAAUCUCACAGGGGAACUACCACCGGUACUUGGUACAUAUGGCAUUGGUAGUGGUCUACUUUCCCUUCACAUCGAAGGAAACAGGUUUCAUGGACAAAUUCCAGAAAGAUGGCAUCUAUUAGUAUCAACCCGGCAGCUUAAUCUUUCUCACAAUGGCUUAUCCGGUGUCGUGCCCAAAUUCUUUGAGCAACUUGAUAAGCUAGAGCAACUUGAUCUCUCUUACAACAACUUGGAAGGGGUUGUUCCUACAAGUGGUAUCUUCACGCAUUCUGCUGCAGUAGUUUUGGAUGGCAACAAGGGACUCUGCUGAAAUUCCCCCAGGCUAGCGUUACCAAUUUGUCCUGGCAUCUCAGGUUCAGCAACUAAAGUGAAGCAUCAUCUGUCAUUGCUGCUAAUUGUACUACCACCACUUACUAUUGGUUCCCUAGUCUUGAUAUGGUUUAUGCUCACUAUUUGGAAAAGAGAAGUGCAUACAGCCCCGUGCCAUGACGAGAAGAAGCUGAAGAGAGUGUCAUACGAGGACAUUCUUAAAGCUACCAACUGGUUUUCUUUGGUCCAUACUAUCAGCUCAACUUGUACUGGUUGAGUUUAUGUUUGUAGGUUCAAGUCCGACAAGAGCCUAGUUGCCAUCAAAGUAUUCAACUUGAAUGAACCUGGUGGAUACAAUAGUUACCUUAUUGAGUGUGAAGUGCUGCGAAGCACCCGCCAUAGAAAUAUAAUGCGGCCUGUGACACUGUGCUCAACAUUGGAUUCACAAAACCAUGAGUUCAAAGCACUGAUCUUUGAGUUCAUGGUUAAUGGCAGCCUGGAGAGAUGGUUGCAUUCGGAGCAACACAAUGGAAUCCCAGAAAAAGUGCUAAGCUUUGGGCAGAGGAUAUGCAUAGCAGUAGAUGUGGCUUCUGCUCUUGAUUAUGUUCACAAUGAACUGACGCCUCCUUUGAUCCAUUGUGAUUUGAAGCCAAACAAUGUCCUUUUGUAUGAUGACAUGACUGCACGGCUCAGUGACUUUGGCUCAGCGAAGUUUCUAUCACUAGGUCUGCUAAGUCCUAAAAGCCUAGAUGAAGUUGGAGGGACAAUUGGAUAUGUGGCACCUGGAGAGGAACACUAA